AUAAUUUUCUAAUUAAAUGCGGUGAAAAAACUUCUCUCUGCCCUCGUAGGGGUUGCCAGUUAUUUUUGGUGCUUGCUAACCGAAGAGGACUUCGCCAAAAUGGACGAGGUAUAAGAGUAAAAGAGCCAUGCCUGUUCAACGAAGCUCAACUGGCGUUUAAACGGGUAAUAUCGAAUGCCUCUUUAUUAUGUACUUAGACUUUAAGCUUCAAACAAUCGU
RNAcentral lists this long non-coding RNA (219 nucleotides) under Nicotiana benthamiana. RNAcentral's name for it is "long non-coding RNA (NBEN_LNC003001)". The record is from RNAcentral. Lineage: Eukaryota; Viridiplantae; Streptophyta; Magnoliopsida; Solanales; Solanaceae.